Molecule: long non-coding RNA, 1309 nt
Organism: Cygnus olor (mute swan)
Lineage: Eukaryota; Metazoa; Chordata; Aves; Anseriformes; Anatidae
Exons: 6
Source: RefSeq, a predicted model, not a curated record
GCCACCGUCCUGCGCUUGCGCGGCGGCCGGCCCGGCCCAGCCGUGCCCGUCGGGCAGUGGGGAACCGGCAAAGCUCCCACAGUGGCUUCGGCUCCGUUCCGCUCUGCUCCGGGGUCAUCUUCCUGCCUGCCUGCAACGACUGAUGCCCUGUGCUUUUCAGUACCACCGUAAAAUGUGGCUGCUCCAUGAGAAUAAAGAGCUCCGGCAAGGGAAAAAACUGAGGGAAUGCCAGAGGUUGGUUUUGUAAAGAAUAUUCUGAACAUUUACUUACUGCACAGCCAUCGUGAAGCGCUUUGAUGUAUGGAUUGUUGUCGUAAGACAUCUCUUCAUCAUUUGAUCCUAAGAACCUUAGUGCUUUGUCAUAGCUGUCAGAAGAUGCAUCAUGCCAAGCUACGGACUGAUGACAAUUAAUACCUUCAGAUUAGUGACUUUAAAUGGAAUCCAAGGUGAUAGCUUAUAAAGAGAGAGAAUUCUAUUUAAGGGAGACACUGUUGUCAUCUAAGAUUCAGCCAGGUGGAAGGGAGCAGUGAGCAAUCUGCUGCGUGGUGCAUAGCUGCUUAUGGGGGUUAAACCACAACAGAUUGGCAUGAUUGAGGAUUCCAGCCCUACAAUGCUAGGUGAAUUCAAUGAACCAAAUAUCUCUUCCAUACCAUCGGAAUAAUCCAGAAUAUUAUCACCAGCAUCAGACACCAUAUAAUCAGGAGAUCUUCUAGUCUUUUUGGGUGACUGGAUUGGCAGCGGCUGGAUUACUUCACCUGGAGGACCCUGAAUGGAAAACAUAUCUGUUUACCUUUUCUGUUGGUUUUCCAGAUGCAUAAAUACACAGAGGAAGACGAAAGAACAUGACAUGAAGAUGCUUUGAAUAGAGCUUCUACAAUUUGUUUAUUUUACUUAUUUCAUUCAGAUUUAUGCCAAAACAGAUUGUGGCAGGCCAAGACAUUGUUUUGCUCUAAACUCUUCCCACUCCAUUGCUGUUUGGGGAAGAGUAUGCUGCCCUCACGUAAGUGUGCAGAACUCAUUUGUGAUUGCCUUUUCAUCCCCAGCAAUUACCUGAAGCGGAGGCAUAGCCUAUAGCAAACAAAAACUGUGGGUGUUCCCUAUGAUAAAACUUUAAAAUUCCACUUGGGGUCUAUAAAGCAGUACUUCAUUUCAGAAAAUUGAAACAAUUCAUUCAGAUUUCGACUGUUUUCAUUUUAGAUUUUUAUGCUAUGGAAAAGAAGUAGUAGAAACAGGAGAGUAUGAACAGCAGGAAACUGAAAUCAUUCUGUUUUCUGUGCUUCCAUAUGACACAUUAAAUCAUCGCAGUUUU